Herpailurus yagouaroundi (jaguarundi) is the source of this 1189-nucleotide long non-coding RNA. RefSeq lists it as uncharacterized. NCBI's taxonomy places the organism in Eukaryota, Metazoa, Chordata, Mammalia, Carnivora, Felidae. The transcript is spliced from 2 exons. The record is from RefSeq and is a predicted model, not a curated record.
CAGUUUAAGCUUCCCCAAAGUACGCCAGCUCCCCGAACCGAGUGCACCGAGAUCCUGUCUGGAGAUGCCGAGACCACGUCCCUUCAAGGCACCUUCGCGUCCAGGCUGUCGGAGACUCGUCUGUGCCCUGGCCUCCGUUCAUUCCACAGGCUCGGCAUUUCCUAGUCCAACCUGCCUGAACCCAGAUGGAGUGGCUCCUUCCCUCUGCCCGGACCCCUGCCCCGACCCGGUCUAGCUCCUCCCUCCGGCUUCCAAGGAGUCCUGCCUCCUCCGGGAGCCUCUCCAGCACGAGCACAACCUGGGCUCUGCAGCCCCAUCUGUCGUCCUCCAAACCAAGGGGGAGGACGGGUCAGGCUGAUCUGUGUGUCCCCAGGGCCGAGCCAGUGCUCAGGAAACACUUAGCAAAUGGUGGCACCCUGGGUAGGAGUGCUGGUCUGUCCCAGUUCUGACACCCGAUACGGUGUUUCCUGACCUCCCUUGCCAAAGAGAGCCAAUCUCUCCAGACGAGCUAAACACCCUGAAUGUCCCUACCUCUCAAUGCAGAGAAACGAAACCACCACGAGAGAAGACAGAAGGUGUGCUCGGAGCAAGGAGUCUUACAUUCCCUAGGCUGUGAGUGACAUCCCUUCUGGGGAGCCCUGUCUCCUCCCUGCGGCUUAGGCUCAGAAAAAUGCCCACCCCAAGCAGUGUGGUUCUGAAUCACACUGAAAAGAGAAACCUCAAACAGUGAUGCUCAGAGCAAACUAAAGAGCAGGACUUUGAGAGACGACAGGAAUGACUGGAGGACGGAGACCCGACCACCAGGGUCUGCAAGUUAGGACGGUCAGCGCCCCUUACACGAUCUCGCUGGAUCUUCCCUUGGCCCCCUCCUGUAAAACCUUACUCAACCUUCAAGGCCCGGCCUCAAUGCCGCCUCGCACAGAAAGCAAGCUGGAUGGAUGUCCCAGCUCUCUGAGACCGCGGAGGGCGUGUCUGCAUGUCUGCUCUGGCAACCCGGCCCGGCCAGCUACUGCCAUCCCCUCAUCACCUGCGGCCUCCCCGAGGCCAGAAAUCCUCAGUGUUCACCUCUGCCGGGCCCACACAUGGGUCACACUCGACAGGCACCCAUUACGUGGACAGGUAACACUCUCAAAGCCAGCCGUGUUCAAUGGCCCGAGAUAGCUUCUCAAUAAAAUGUCCCCAAACCCAA